GGGAAUGUAGCUCAAUGGUAGAGUGCUUGCCUUGCAUGCAUGAGGCCCUGGGUUCUAUUCCUCAGGACCA
Non-coding RNA from Dipodomys ordii (Ord's kangaroo rat), 70 nucleotides. The record is from Rfam. Lineage: Eukaryota; Metazoa; Chordata; Mammalia; Rodentia; Heteromyidae.